GCGAUAGUGGCGUAGCUGGUAACGCGCAACCUUGCCAAGGUUGAGACCGCGGGUUCGAACCCCGUCUAUCGCU
RNAcentral lists this transfer RNA (73 nucleotides) under Anaerostipes butyraticus. It matches the Rfam family "tRNA". From Rfam's summary of the family: Transfer RNA (tRNA) molecules are approximately 80 nucleotides in length. Their secondary structure includes four short double-helical elements and three loops (D, anti-codon, and T loops). The record is from Rfam by way of RNAcentral. Lineage: Bacteria; Bacillati; Bacillota; Clostridia; Lachnospirales; Lachnospiraceae. RNAcentral also lists the same sequence under 5 other names.